RNAcentral lists this ribosomal RNA (248 nucleotides) under Vibrio tetraodonis subsp. pristinus. Its description in RNAcentral is "Vibrio sp. OCN044 partial 23S ribosomal RNA". It matches the Rfam family "Bacterial large subunit ribosomal RNA", at positions 2703 to 2925 of the family's 2925-position model. The record is from RNAcentral. Lineage: Bacteria; Pseudomonadati; Pseudomonadota; Gammaproteobacteria; Vibrionales; Vibrionaceae.
GAACCUCUGGUGUUCGGGUUGUGUCGCCAGACGCAUUGCCCGGUAGCUAAGUUCGGAAUCGAUAACCGCUGAAAGCAUCUAAGCGGGAAGCGAGCCCUAAGAUGAGUCUUCCCUGACCCCUUGAGGGUCCUAAAGGGUUGUUCGAGACUAGAACGUUGAUAGGCAGGGUGUGUAAGCGUUGUGAGGCGUUGAGCUAACCUGUACUAAUUGCCCGUGAGGCUUAACCAUACAACACCCAAAGGGUUUUG